RNAcentral lists this ribosomal RNA (475 nucleotides) under uncultured bacterium. RNAcentral's name for it is "partial 16S ribosomal RNA". It matches the Rfam family "Bacterial small subunit ribosomal RNA", at positions 911 to 1385 of the family's 1533-position model. The record is from RNAcentral.
UGACGGGGGCCCGCACAAGCGGUGGAGCAUGUGGUUUAAUUCGAUGCAGCGCGAAGAACCUUACCUGGUCUUGACAUCCACAGAACUUUCCAGAGAUGGAUUGGUGCCUUCGGGAACUGUGAGACAGGUGCUGCAUGGCUGUCGUCAGCUCGUGUUGUGAAAUGUUGGGUUAAGUCCCGCAACGAGCGCAACCCUUAUCCUUUGUUGCCAGCGGUCCGGCCGNNAANUNNNNGGAGACUGCCAGNNAUAAACUGGAGGAAGGUGGGGNUNACGUCAAGUCAUCAUGGCCCUUACGACCAGGGCUACACACGUGCUACAAUGGCGCAUACAAAGAGAAGCGACCUCGCGAGAGCAAGCGGACCUCAUAAAGUGCGUCGUAGUCCGGAUUGGAGUCUGCAACUCGACUCCAUGAAGUCGGAAUCGCUAGUAAUCGUGGAAUCAGAAUGCCACGGUGAAUACGUUCCCGGGCCUUGUA